Molecule: ribosomal RNA, 483 nt
Filed under: uncultured bacterium
Lineage: Bacteria
Description: bacterial SSU rRNA
Rfam family: Bacterial small subunit ribosomal RNA
Source: RNAcentral
AUUGAACGCUGGCGGCAUGCUUUACACAUGCAAGUCGAACGGUAACAGGGAGCUUGCUCCGCUGACGAGUGGCGAACGGGUGAGUAAUGCAUCGGAACGUGCCGUGUAGUGGGGGAUAACGUAGCGAAAGUUACGCUAAUACCGCAUACGCACUGAGGUGGAAAGCAGGGGAUCGCAAGACCUUGCGCUAUACGAGCGGCCGAUGUCAGAUUAGCUAGUUGGUAGGGUAAAGGCCUACCAAGGCGACGAUCUGUAGCGGGUCUGAGAGGACGAUCAGCCACACUGGGACUGAGACACGGCCCAGACUCCUACGGGAGGCAGCAGUGGGGAAUUUUGGACAAUGGGGGCAACCCUGAUCCAGCAAUGCCGCGUGAGUGAAGAAGGCCUUCGGGUUGUAAAGCUCUUUUGUCAGGGAAGAAACAGCAGCUCUAACACAGUCUGCGAAUGACGGUACCUGAAGAAUAAGCACCGGCUAACUACGUG